GCCGGGGUGGCGGAAUUGGUAGACGCAAGGGACUUAAAAUCCCUCGGGGGGUAACCCCCGUGCCGGUUCGAUUCCGGCCCUCGGCA
This 86-nucleotide transfer RNA is filed under the name Candidatus Poribacteria bacterium. RNAcentral's name for it is "tRNA-Leu". It matches the Rfam family "tRNA". From Rfam's summary of the family: Transfer RNA (tRNA) molecules are approximately 80 nucleotides in length. Their secondary structure includes four short double-helical elements and three loops (D, anti-codon, and T loops). The record is from RNAcentral. Lineage: Bacteria; Candidatus Poribacteria. RNAcentral also lists the same sequence under 1 other name.